AGGACGAACGCUGGCGGCGUGCCUAACACAUGCAAGUGGAGCGACGAACCAGGCUUCGGCCUGGGGCAAAGCCGCGAACGGGUGAGUAACACGUGGGUAACCUGCCCCGAUGACCGGGACAACCCGAGGAAACUCGGGCUAAUACCGGAUGUGUCCUCCGGCCAUAAGGCCGCUGGGGAAAGGAAGCUUCGGCCUCCGCAUCGGGAUGGGCCCGCGGCCCAUUAGCUUGUUGGUGAGGUAACGGCUCACCAAGGCGACGAUGGGUAGCUGGUCUGAGAGGACGAUCAGCCACACUGGGACUGAGACACGGCCCAGACUCCUACGGGAGGCAGCAGUGGGGAAUCUUGCGCAAUGGACGAAAGUCUGACGCAGCAACGCCGCGUGAGGGACGAAGGUUUUCUGAAUUGUAAACCUCUUUCGACAGGGACGAUAAUGACGGUACCUGUAGAAGAAGCACCGGCCAACUACGUGCCAGCAGCCGC
This 482-nucleotide ribosomal RNA is filed under the name uncultured bacterium. RNAcentral describes it as "SSU rRNA". It matches the Rfam family "Bacterial small subunit ribosomal RNA", at positions 26 to 518 of the family's 1533-position model. The record is from RNAcentral.